ACCAUCAAAGACCAGAGCACCUCUCCUCCUUCAAGGCAUCACAACUCCUCAACAACACAGGAUCACAACUUGACCGAGGAGUGCAACGAAUUGACGGAAACACGCUUCAGAAGGUGGCUAAUGACAAACAUUUCUGAGCUAAAGGAACAUGCUCUAACUCAAAGCAAAGCAA
Molecule: long non-coding RNA, 172 nt
Organism: Sapajus apella (tufted capuchin)
Lineage: Eukaryota; Metazoa; Chordata; Mammalia; Primates; Cebidae
Exons: 2
Source: RefSeq, a predicted model, not a curated record